RNAcentral lists this ribosomal RNA (497 nucleotides) under uncultured bacterium. Its description in RNAcentral is "partial 16S ribosomal RNA". It matches the Rfam family "Bacterial small subunit ribosomal RNA", at positions 28 to 507 of the family's 1533-position model. The record is from RNAcentral.
GACGAACGCUGGCGGCGUGCCUAAUACAUGCCAGUCGAGCGAACAGACGAGGAGCUUGCUCCUCUGACGUUAGCGGCGGACGGGUGAGUAACACGUGGAUAACCUACCUAUAAGACUGGGAUAACUUCGGGAAACCGGAGCUAAUACCGGAUAAUAUAUUGAACCGCAUGGUUCAAUAGUGAAAGACGGUUUUGCUGUCACUUAUAGAUGGAUCCGCGCCGCAUUAGCUAGUUGGUAAGGUAACGGCUUACCAAGGCGACGAUGCGUAGCCGACCUGAGAGAGUGAUCGGCCACACUAGAACUGAGACACGGUCCAGACUCCUACGGGAGGCAGCAGUAGGGAAUCGUCCGCAAUGGGCGAAAGCCUGACGGAGCAACGCCACGUGAGUGAUGAAGGUCUUCGGAUCGUAAAACUCUGUUAUUAGGGAAGAACAAAUGUGUAAGUAACUAUGCACGUCUUGACGGUACCUAAUCAGAAAGCCACGGCUAACUACGUG